RNAcentral lists this ribosomal RNA (253 nucleotides) under uncultured prokaryote. RNAcentral describes it as "partial 16S ribosomal RNA". It matches the Rfam family "Bacterial small subunit ribosomal RNA", at positions 524 to 776 of the family's 1533-position model. The record is from RNAcentral.
UACGGAGGGUGCAAACGUUGCUCGGAAUCAUUGGGCGUAAAGCGCACGUAGGCGGUCCUUUAAGUCGGGUGUGAAAGCCCUCGGCUUAACCGAGGAAGUGCAUUCGAAACUGAGGGACUUGAAUACUGGAGAGGAUGGCGGAAUUCCCGGUGUAGAGGUGAAAUUCGUAGAUAUCGGGAGGAACACCAGCGGCGAAGGCGGCCAUCUGGACAGAUAUUGACGCUGAGGUGCGAAAGCGUGGGGAGCAAACAGG